AAGAGCUGCUCCAGAGGUGUCGGUAUAAUGAUGCCCUAUUAGCCUCCCAAAGAAACCAGAUUUGGUGAGGAUUGCCCUGACUGUGAGCACAGUUCUGCUUUCCCUCAGGUCCAAUCAUGUUCUGAAUUUCAUCACAGCUUCCAUGUUAAACUGAUUGACGCUUCGUUUACUGCACGUUCCCAUAUGUCUGCAUAUGGAUAUGCAAUACAUGUCAGGAUGAAAACCACUGAUGGAGCAUCGGAGACAAGCAGGAACUAGCACUAGUGCCCAGUGCUUCCCAGUACCCUGUCUAAUAUUCUGGCAGCUGCCCAGGCUAUCCCCCGUGGACCUUCUUCUCUCUUCAUGCUAUAUUAGAAGAUGCACUUUUUGUUCCAGUUGGAUUUCUGAUGAACUGUUGUGCUCAGGGGACCAGCAGAAACCUGCUGAGCGCUGGGGCAGGAAAGAUGAC
This is a long non-coding RNA of Strigops habroptila (Kakapo), 448 nucleotides long. RefSeq lists it as uncharacterized. The record is from RefSeq and is a predicted model, not a curated record. NCBI's taxonomy places the organism in Eukaryota, Metazoa, Chordata, Aves, Psittaciformes, Psittacidae. The transcript has 4 exons.